GAGUUUGAUCAUGGCUCAGGAUGAACGCUAGCGGCAGGCUUAACACAUGCAAGUCGAGGGGUAGUUACUUUCGGGUAAUGAGACCGGCGCACGGGUGCGUAACGCGUAUGCAAUCUACCUUUUACAGGGGAAUAGCCCAGAGAAAUUUGGAUUAAUGCCCCAUGGUAUUAUAGAGUGGCAUCACUUUAUAAUUAAAGUUCCAACGGUAAAAGAUGAGCAUGCGUCCCAUUAGUUAGUUGGUAAGGUAACGGCUUACCAAGACGAUGAUGGGUAGGGGUCCUGAGAGGGAGAUCCCCCACACUGGUACUGAGACACGGACCAGACUCCUACGGGAGGCAGCAGUGAGGAAUAUUGGACAAUGGGCGCAAGCCUGAUCCAGCCAUGCCGCGUGCAGGAAGAAGCAUCUAUGGUGUGUAAACUGCUUUUAUACAGGAAGAAACACUCCCUCGUGAGGGAGCUUGACGGUACUGUAAGAAUAAGGACCGGCUAACUCCGUGCCAGCAGCCGCGGUAAUACGGAGGGUCCAAGCGUUAUCCGGAAUCAUUGGGUUUAAAGGGUCCGUAGGCGGUUUAAUAAGUCAGUGGUGAAAUCUGGUCGCUCAACGAUCAAACGGCCAUUGAUACUGUUAGACUUGAAUUAUAAGGAAGUAACUAGAAUAUGUAGUGUAGCGGUGA
Molecule: ribosomal RNA, 674 nt
Filed under: uncultured bacterium
Lineage: Bacteria
Description: bacterial SSU rRNA
Rfam family: Bacterial small subunit ribosomal RNA
Source: RNAcentral